Molecule: ribosomal RNA, 492 nt
Filed under: uncultured bacterium
Lineage: Bacteria
Description: bacterial SSU rRNA
Rfam family: Bacterial small subunit ribosomal RNA
Source: RNAcentral
CCUUCGGGAACUCUGAGACAGGUGCUGCAUGGCUGUCGUCAGCUCGUGUUGUGAAAUGUUGGGUUAAGUCCCGCAACGAGCGCAACCCUUAUCCUUUGUUGCCAGCGGCUCGGCCGGGAACUCAAAGGAGACUGCCGGUGAUAAACCGGAGGAAGGUGGGGAUGACGUCAAGUCAUCAUGGCCCUUACGGCCAGGGCUACACACGUGCUACAAUGGCGCAUACAAAGAGAAGCGACCUCGCGAGAGCAAGCGGACCUCAUAAAGUGCGUCGUAGUCCGGAUUGGAGUCUGCAACUCGACUCCAUGAAGUCGGAAUCGCUAGUAAUCGUAGAUCAGAAUGCUACGGUGAAUACGUUCCCGGGCCUUGUACACACCGCCCGUCACACCAUGGGAGUGGGUUGCAAAAGAAGUAGGUAGCUUAACCUUCGGGAGGGCGCUUACCACUUUGUGAUUCAUGACUGGGGUGAAGUCGUAACAAGGUAGGCGUAGCGAG